GUGCUCACUUCAGUAGUACAUAUACUAAAAUUGGAAUGAUAUAAAGAAGAUUAACAUGGCCCCUGCACAAGGAUGAUAUGCAAAUUCAGGAAGUGUUUCAUAUUUUU
Small nuclear RNA from Dromiciops gliroides (monito del monte), 107 nucleotides. The record is from RefSeq and is a predicted model, not a curated record. Lineage: Eukaryota; Metazoa; Chordata; Mammalia; Microbiotheria; Microbiotheriidae.